Molecule: transfer RNA, 84 nt
Filed under: Candidatus Omnitrophota bacterium
Lineage: Bacteria; Pseudomonadati; Candidatus Omnitrophota
Description: Candidatus Omnitrophica bacterium (groundwater metagenome) tRNA-Leu
Rfam family: tRNA
About the family: Transfer RNA (tRNA) molecules are approximately 80 nucleotides in length.
Source: RNAcentral
GCGGAAGUGGCGGAAUGGCAUACGCGCACGGCUCAGGACCGUGUGGGGAAACCCUUAGGAGUUCAACUCUCCUCUUCCGCACCA